GGCCGACGUAUUCAAUGGUAAAUGUACUGUACAUUCUGUUUUUUUUUCUCCUCUGAUUCCUACAUACAGGUGCAAAGCCAAGAACAGAACAAAGAUACACGGCUAGAGGACAGAAAACAAAGAUGCCUACUCUAAAGGAUUGCUAUGCAUGCAGGGAAAAAAUCGGAGUUGCCAGCAAAACAUGUCAGCACUGUAGGGCCAAACACCCAUAUAAGGAAUUGCUUGAAAAAAAAAGAAACAGCUUUCCCAGGAAUGGAAAGCGAGACAAAAAAAAAACAGCAGUGUAAACAAAGUUUACGAUGCAACAAAUCUACUACUCCACAAGUGGGAACUUUUAGAGAGGUUCCCAGUGCUACUUCUUGCUAGGAGAACCUCAAAUGGAUUUUCAGCUGAAUGCUUCUGUCCAUGGA
Long non-coding RNA from Carassius auratus (goldfish), 410 nucleotides. RefSeq lists it as uncharacterized. NCBI's taxonomy places the organism in Eukaryota, Metazoa, Chordata, Actinopteri, Cypriniformes, Cyprinidae. The record is from RefSeq and is a predicted model, not a curated record. The transcript is spliced from 3 exons.